RNAcentral lists this ribosomal RNA (237 nucleotides) under uncultured bacterium. RNAcentral describes it as "partial 16S ribosomal RNA". It matches the Rfam family "Bacterial small subunit ribosomal RNA", at positions 15 to 235 of the family's 1533-position model. The record is from RNAcentral.
GAUCAUGGCUCAGGAUGAACGCUGGCGGCGUGCUUAACACAUGCAAGUCGAACGAAGCACCUUGAUUUGAUUCUUCGGAUGAAGAUCUUGGUGACUGAGUGGCGGACGGGUGAGUAACGCGUGGGUAACCUGCCUCAUACAGGGGGAUAACAGUUAGAAAUGACUGCUAAUACCGCAUAAGACCACAGCACCGCAUGGUGCAGGGGUAAAAACUCCGGUGGUAUGAGAUGGACCCCG